Molecule: ribosomal RNA, 497 nt
Filed under: uncultured bacterium
Lineage: Bacteria
Description: partial 16S ribosomal RNA
Rfam family: Bacterial small subunit ribosomal RNA
Source: RNAcentral
GACGAACGCUGGCGGCGUGCCUAAUACAUGCAAGUUGAGCGCUGAAGGUUGGUACUUGUACCAACUGGAUGAGCAGCGAACGGGUGAGUAACGCGUGGGGAAUCUGCCUUUGAGCGGGGGACAACAUUUGGAAACGAAUGCUAAUACCGCAUAAAAACUUUAAACACAAGGUUUAAGAUUGAAAGAUGCAAUUGCAUCACCCAAAGAUUAUCCCGCGUUGUAUUAGCUAGUUGGUGAGGUAAAGGCUCACCAAGGCGAUGAUACAAUGCCGACCUGGAAGGGUGAUCGGCCACAUUGGGACUUAGACACGGCCCAAACUCCUACGGGAGGCAGCAGUAGGGAAUCUUCGGCAAUGGACGAAAGUCUGACCGAGCAACGCCGCGUGAGUGAAGAAGGGUUUCGGAUCGUAAAACUCUGUUGGUAGAGAAGGACGUUAGUGAUAGUGGAAAGCUCAUCAAUUGACGGUAACUACCCAGAAAGGGACGGCUAACUACGUG